GGCUCAGUUCAGCAGGAACAGU
RNAcentral lists this non-coding RNA (22 nucleotides) under Bos taurus (domestic cattle). The record is from RNAcentral. RNAcentral also lists the same sequence under 1 other name. Lineage: Eukaryota; Metazoa; Chordata; Mammalia; Artiodactyla; Bovidae.